AUUUAUGUAGUUUAAAUAAAACAUUACAUUUUCAUUGUAAAAAUAAAAAAAUUUUUUUUUGUAAAUA
RNAcentral lists this transfer RNA (67 nucleotides) under Thaumatosmylus hainanus. RNAcentral's name for it is "tRNA-Glu". The record is from RNAcentral. Lineage: Eukaryota; Metazoa; Arthropoda; Insecta; Neuroptera; Osmylidae.